This 204-nucleotide ribosomal RNA is filed under the name Klebsiella pneumoniae. RNAcentral's name for it is "partial 23S ribosomal RNA". It matches the Rfam family "Bacterial large subunit ribosomal RNA", at positions 1163 to 1366 of the family's 2925-position model. The record is from RNAcentral. Lineage: Bacteria; Pseudomonadati; Pseudomonadota; Gammaproteobacteria; Enterobacterales; Enterobacteriaceae.
GCGGAAGAUGUAACGGGGCUAAACCAUGCACCGAAGCUGCGGCAGCGACACUAUGUGUUGUUGGGUAGGGGAGCGUUCUGUAAGCCUGCGAAGGUGUGCUGUGAGGCAUGCUGGAGGUAUCAGAAGUGCGAAUGCUGACAUAAGUAACGAUAAAGCGGGUGAAAAGCCCGCUCGCCGGAAGACCAAGGGUUCCUGUCCAACGUU